GUAGCGGCGAGCGAACGGGGAGGAGCCCAGAGCCUGAAUCAGCAUGUGUGUUAGUGGAAGCGUCUGGAAAGGCGCGCGAUACAGGGUGACAGCCCCGUACACAAAAGCGCAUGUGCUGUGAGCUCGAUGAGUAGGGCGGGACACGUGGUAUCCUGUCUGAAUAUGGGGGGACCAUCCUCCAAGGCUAAAUACUCCUGACUGACCGAUAGUGAACCAGUACCGUGAGGGAAAGGCGAAAAGAACCCCGGCGAGGGGAGUGAAAAAGAACCUGAAACCGUGUACGUACAAGCAGUGGGAGCACAGGUUUACCUGUGUGACUGCGUACCUUUUGUAUAAUGGGUCAGCGACUUAUAUUCUGUAGCAAGGUUAACCGUAUAGGGGAGCCGGAGGGAAACCGAGUCUUAAUUGGGCGUUAAGUUGCAGGGUAUAGACCCGAAACCCGGUGAUCUAGCCAUGGGCAGGUUGAAGGUUGGGUAACACUAACUGGAGGACCGAACCGACUAAUGUUGAAAAAUUAGCGGAUGACCUGUGGCUGGGGGUGAAAGGCCAAUCAAACCGGGAGAUAGCUGGUUCUCCCCGAAAGCUAUUUAGGUAGCGCCUCGUGAAUUCAUCUCCGGGGGUAGAGCACUGUUUCGGCUAGGGGGCCAUCCCGGCUUACCAACCCGAUGCAAAC
This 673-nucleotide ribosomal RNA is filed under the name Salmonella enterica subsp. enterica serovar Typhimurium. Its description in RNAcentral is "bacterial LSU rRNA". It matches the Rfam family "Bacterial large subunit ribosomal RNA", at positions 243 to 954 of the family's 2925-position model. Lineage: Bacteria; Pseudomonadati; Pseudomonadota; Gammaproteobacteria; Enterobacterales; Enterobacteriaceae. The record is from RNAcentral.